This 187-nucleotide ribosomal RNA is filed under the name uncultured Eubacteriales bacterium. RNAcentral describes it as "uncultured Clostridiales bacterium partial 16S ribosomal RNA". It matches the Rfam family "Bacterial small subunit ribosomal RNA", at positions 147 to 334 of the family's 1533-position model. Lineage: Bacteria; Bacillati; Bacillota; Clostridia; Eubacteriales. The record is from RNAcentral.
CCUUUGGAAACGAAGAAUAAUACCCUAUAAAACCAUAAAAGCACAUGCUAGAAUGGUCAAAGUGCUAGCGGUGUAAGAUGGACUUGCGUCUGAUUAGCUAGUUGGUGAGAUAAAAGCUCACCAAGGCAACGAUCAGUAGCCGGCUUGAGAGAGUGUACGGCCACAUUGGGACUGAGACACGGCCCAG